UGGGGAAUAUUGGACAAUGGGCGCAAGCCUGAUCCAGCAAUGCCGCGUGUGUGAAGAAGGCCUUCGGGUUGUAAAGCUCUUUCAGACGGAAAGAAACGGUUACGGCUAAUACCCGUGACUAAUGACGGUACCGUAAGAAGAAGCACCGGCUAACUACGUGCCAGCAGCCGCGGUAAUACGUAGGGUGCGAGCGUUAAUCGGAAUUACUGGGCGUAAAGCGUGCGCAGGCGGUUUGGUAAGACAGAUGUGAAAUCCCCGGGCUUAACCUGGGAACUGCAUUUGUGACUGCCAGACUAGAGUGUAGCAGAGGGGGGUAGAAUUCCACGUGUAGCAGUGAAAUGCGUAGAUAUGUGGAGGAAUACCGAUGGCGAAGGCAGCCCCCUGGGCUAACACUGACGCUCAUGCACGAAAGCGUGGGGAGCAAACAGGAUUAGAUACCCCAGUAGUCCCUGAGCGGGCUGGCAAGGCGCAU
RNAcentral lists this ribosomal RNA (472 nucleotides) under uncultured bacterium. RNAcentral describes it as "bacterial SSU rRNA". It matches the Rfam family "Bacterial small subunit ribosomal RNA", at positions 355 to 825 of the family's 1533-position model. The record is from RNAcentral.